This 951-nucleotide ribosomal RNA is filed under the name Triticum aestivum (bread wheat). Its description in RNAcentral is "partial small subunit ribosomal RNA". Lineage: Eukaryota; Viridiplantae; Streptophyta; Magnoliopsida; Poales; Poaceae. The record is from RNAcentral.
AUGGCACUACCGUGGCGUGUGAGCACUGCAUGUGCUCCCUUGCCGGACUGCACGCACGCCAGCAGGCUGCACCACCACGACUGCCGUACUGCAGGCUGUCAGGGGACGGACUGCGCGUGCACCAGUUAUUGGCCGGUGCUGCCGGCUGGCGUCAAGUUUGAUCCCACGGAUCAGGAGCUGAUCGAGCACCUUGAGGCCAAAGUGAGUGCUGACAGCGCGAGAUCUCACCCUCUCAUCGAUUUGUUUAUACCAACCAUUGACAGCGAGAACGGCAUAUGCUACACCCAUCCUGAGAAACUUCCAGGUAUCACACUGAGUGGCCUAAGCAAGCAUUUCUUCCACCGCAAUUCUAGGGCGUUCAAAAGGGGCACGUGGACGCGUCGCAAGAUACAGUCAGAGUGUGGCAUGCACGCGAUGUGGCACAAGACCGGCAAUACCUCGCCGGUUAUAGCCAACGGCCGGCAGACGGGUAGCAAAAAGGUUCUGGUGCUGCACACCAACAAGAACUUUGACCAGCAGAGUACCAACUGGGUCAUGCAUGAGUACCACCUCGGGGACCUGGAGCAAGAGAAGGAGUGGGAGCUGGUGCUCUGCAAGAUUUUCUACCAGACGAACACUAGGGCUAGGAGUAAAAAGAUUAUAAAGGAUCCCUACGAGGAGAACGAAGAACACGAGGAGGGGAACGAGAGAAAAACACGAGAAAACACUCAACCAACAAGAACAAAGUCACACAUGUGCUUGAUCAUCGAAACACAAGAGAGGUACAAGAUCCAAAUCCAACAAGAGAUCAUACAAAGGGUAACUGCGUCGGGCCGGAUGUCCGGGCGUUCGCGAGGGCCCGGAUGUCCGAGCUGUCUGGCCGGAUGUCCGGGCUGUCCUGGCGCCGCCUUGGAUCUCCUGAGGCAGAACUGGCGUACUCGGCAAUGGGUAGACACUCCUCCCACUCCUUGA